AUUGCCCUAGUAACGGCGAGUGAACAGGCAAGAGCUCAGAUUUGAAAGGCACUUUUGUGCCGUUGUAUUCUGAAGUUAGGGUCCUGAGAAACGAUGCUUAAGUCUUCUGGAAAGGAGCGCCAUGGAGGGUGAUAGCCCCGUCUAGCAUUGACCUCAUAUAGGAUCUUAACAUGGAGUCGAGUUGUUUGGGAAUGCAGCUCAAAUGGGUGGUAUGCUCCAUCUAAAGCUAAAUAUCUGCGAGAGACCGAUAGUAAACAAGUACUGUGAGGGAAAGAUGAAAAGAACUUUGAAAAGAGAGUGAAAAAGUACGUGAAAUUGUUGAAAUGGAAGGGUAGGCCGCUAACCAUGUAGAGCCGUGUUUGGGGGGAAGAUAAAUGCUGUAGAAUGUAGCUCCUCGGAGUAUUAUAGAUGCAGUUCAUAUUCCCACCCGAGCGCGAGGAUCUCAGGUUCUACUAAAUGGUGGUCUACCACCCGUCUUGAAACACGGACCA
RNAcentral lists this ribosomal RNA (491 nucleotides) under Starmerella bacillaris. Its description in RNAcentral is "eukaryotic LSU rRNA". It matches the Rfam family "Eukaryotic large subunit ribosomal RNA", at positions 74 to 668 of the family's 3401-position model. Lineage: Eukaryota; Fungi; Ascomycota; Dipodascomycetes; Dipodascales; Trichomonascaceae. The record is from RNAcentral.